UUGUCGCGAUUUACGAGCGUUUUAUAACUUGUUUACAUUAGGCAAGUGAGUAACGGUAACCCUGGGAAGCGUUUUAUGCAAAAAUCUAUUAAAACGCUGGCGAGCUGCAUAAAAAUCACAAUAAAUGCACAACGUUUGCGACUUAAACGGUCCAUAACCCGGUCACCACGGGGGUUAGGGCCUCUCGUCUUGACUUUGCCACACACACACACACCCUCCACGCUCAUUCACAUUCAACACAUUUGACACAUUUCUGCGCCUCAAAUUGAGUUUGAAGUUGACGCAAGCGUUGCAAAUGGGCCGUGAAAAGCGUUAAACUAACAUUUCACAUCAAGACUUUUUUGGGCCCAGACAGCUUGCGAUCUGCCAACUGAGAAAAUGUCAUCUGCAAUAUCGGCUCAAAUUAUAUCGGUUGUAUAUCUCAUGCUUAUCGAUCAGCCAGCAACUCAGGCUUAUAAGUUGGGUCGCCUGGAGUUCGUAAUGGAGCACAUGGCAAGAAAUUUGGAAAGCCCGCGGCAUAACAUAAGCGUGGCGGAAAGCGAGCUCAUAUUAAAAGAAUUUGCAAAAUUUGGUGAAGCUGUAAGCAACGAGGCCAACGAGAACAACAACAACCGUGAGAUACAUGUAGCUAAUGGACAGACCUAUUCCAUGUACUUUGAUUUCACACGGAAAAGGAAAAACAGGACGUACAAAAGCUCGUAUCAAUUCAACAAUGUCAAAACACCAAAAUAAGCAAUAAAAUGAUGAAAAAGUAAAAACAUAA
Long non-coding RNA from Drosophila montana, 763 nucleotides. RefSeq lists it as uncharacterized. Lineage: Eukaryota; Metazoa; Arthropoda; Insecta; Diptera; Drosophilidae. The record is from RefSeq and is a predicted model, not a curated record. The transcript has 2 exons.